Molecule: ribosomal RNA, 162 nt
Filed under: Meconopsis delavayi
Lineage: Eukaryota; Viridiplantae; Streptophyta; Magnoliopsida; Ranunculales; Papaveraceae
Description: 5.8S ribosomal RNA
Rfam family: 5.8S ribosomal RNA
About the family: 5.8S ribosomal RNA (5.8S rRNA) is a component of the large subunit of the eukaryotic ribosome.
Source: RNAcentral
GAACGACUCUCGGCAACGGAUAUCUCGGCUCUCGCAUCGAUGAAGAACGUAGCGAAAUGCGAUACUUGGUGUGAAUUGCAGAAUCCCGUGAACCAUCGAGUUUUUGAACGCAAGUUGCGCCCCAAGCCUUUGGGCCGAGGGMACGCUUGCCUGGGCGUCACG